RNAcentral lists this ribosomal RNA (334 nucleotides) under uncultured Glomus. RNAcentral's name for it is "SSU rRNA". It matches the Rfam family "Eukaryotic small subunit ribosomal RNA", at positions 569 to 909 of the family's 1831-position model. Lineage: Eukaryota; Fungi; Glomeromycota; Glomeromycetes; Glomerales; Glomeraceae. The record is from RNAcentral.
AGCAGCCGCGGUAAUUCCAGCUCCAAUAGCGUAUAUUAAAGUUGUUGCAGUUAAAAAGCUCGUAGUUGAAUUUCGAGACCGGCUUACUGGUCGUGCUAUUGUACGUACUGGUAUAAUCGGUUUCUCCUUUCUGACGAACUAUAAUGCCAUUAAUUUGGUGUUUUAGGGAAUCAGGACUGUUACUUUGAAAAAAUUAGAGUGUUUAAAGCAGGCUCACGCUUGAAUACAUUAGCAUGGAAUAACGGAUAGGACGUUUGAUUCUAUUUUGUUGGUUUCUAGGAUCGACGUAAUGAUUAAUAGGGAUAGUUGGGGGCAUUAGUAUUCAAUUGUCAGA